CUUCGCUGUGUCCUCUCCGCACAUGUCCCGGAUCACCUCGGAGUCCCAGCCAUUCGGGAAGAUCAUACAGCCGAGUACCAAACACACAGCUGGAGGGGAAAAGGAGUGGAUGAGAGUUGCCUGAACAGUCCUCUGGUGUGUAGAGGUUCCAGCUGAGGCCAGGCUGGCCCUAACAGAUGGGUCCCUGAAUGCCUCAUUUACUCGACCACUGCUCCUGUGGAACGCCGUGCACAGAAUAGAUGACAUUCAGCUGAUGUACAGGCUCAGGACAUACAGGACUUAAGAUUUUGUGGAGAAGAGGAAAUCUCCAGUCUCUGAAAGUGAUGGGAUCUGAGGAGCUGAGUAUUUACAUGCAGUUUAAUGCAAAAGUGGACAGAGAUGUCUGUACUCUGUCAUUAAUGCACUGACGUGGUAGAGGUGAACACCAUUAUUCUUUAUUAUUUAUCAGAAUACCUACGAGUGCAUUAUUACGGUUGUAUCAAGGUGAGAUAAAUUGGAAGUGUGUCCCUGCCAUGUUCAUCCUUGUUUAGUGUCUCCUGGAAACAGUUUCUGUUGUUGUCUGUGCUACUUGCAUCAUGUCUGUAUUACUGUAAGCUGUUUUCUGUUUUUGCAACAUGUUUUUGGUUGUUUUCUCACUUUGCAGAAUUUGUCUGGGGAAGAUGCUUUCUUAAUUUGCUUGUGUUUUGUCUGUUUGCGUGUGUUUGCAUGCCUAUUAUCAAGUUGCAGUGCAUUGUGCUCUCAGGGCCACUGUAGCUAUUUCUGCUAAUGAUUCAAGUCAAAAUUGCUUAAAUAUAAAUAGCCUUUUGUUUCUAGGAUACAUAUUACACUCUGUUUUGAGAAUAUUAUUUCUGAUAGAUAAAGUCCAGUGAAAUUGACUAACUUCAAUUUGUAAUGACUGUGACAUAUUGAUCACAAGAAAGAUAAUAUAUAGAUUAUUACUCUUAAAGAAUGGCUAAUGUGUGACAACUUUGGAAAGCAGUGAUUUAAAGCUACAUUAAUUCAUUUUUUGGUGUCAGACAACAUUAUCAUUCAUUUGAACUGCGAUGGAAGUAUAAUUUCUACUCUUCU
This is a long non-coding RNA of Micropterus salmoides (largemouth bass), 1068 nucleotides long. RefSeq lists it as uncharacterized. The transcript has 2 exons. The record is from RefSeq and is a predicted model, not a curated record. Lineage: Eukaryota; Metazoa; Chordata; Actinopteri; Centrarchiformes; Centrarchidae.